GCAAACUCCAAACUCCAAUUGAAUUAUAAACCCCAUGUAUUUGCUGCAUAACACAGAUGUUGCUGUAACUUAUAAUUUAAUUACCAUUCAAACAAGGAAAUUUUCCAAUGUUCAAGCAAACAACACAGAAAAAUAAGCCAACUUAAUGCUGGAUACAAUGUGCUUAAGUAAACUAACAAAACUGAUUUGGGGGAAAAACAAGAACAAUCAUUCCCUCCACAUGUCUGCAAAUUCAUCAGGCUCCAAAGGAUUUGACAUCUCAUGCAUUUUCCUCCUCUUCUUGGCCUUGACUUUCGUCGCAUACUUCCCAGCCUUCUGUCUUUUCUCCAAUGCUCGAAUCUGGUUAGGUGAUAUGUAUAAUGGAUUCUCAUAGAGUGUUGGGCCUCCAAAGCUGCCACCAAAAAUCUUUAUAGGAUUCAAACAAAAUCGUGGUCCCACCUCAACAAGCGUCAUCUUAUCGAGGCCUCCUCGAGCCACUUUAUCUGAUUCAUUAUGAGGAACAGAUAUCAUAUAUCAAAAGCAUCCAUGAAAAGUUGAAGAAAAUUGUUUGUAUGAUCAGAACAUCAGCAAUUAUGAGUAGAAUGGCCCUACUCAUAAGUCCUAAGUAAGGAAGUGAAUAGCAUGGCUCCAGUAGAUCAUCAGCAAUUAUGUGUAGCAUAGCUGUCUUAAGGAAUAAAACAAGAACACAGCCUUUUUCAACAGUAUCCAUUUCAUAAAGAUGAACAACACCUUUAAGAGGACAAGAUUUGCACGUUAUUUUUGGGCAUCACAUCUGAAUGAAUAACAGAAUCCCUCAAGAGUAUUUGACAAUAUUAUCUACAACAUUGGACAGCAACUGCCGGCCACUCAUAUCCAAGUGGUAUAUCCUUUCCCCUUCCAUAGCAGGUAAUAUAUUUGGUGCAUACAAUGGUACAAAAAUAUAAAGGAAAGAAAAAAAAUAAAUAAAUAAAAAAGGAGGAAGAAGAAGAAUAAAGAGCCACUAACAGAGUCCGCCUUUUUUAUUGGCUACAGAACCUACAGUAGAGACCUUAGCUAGAUGGAUCCAAUCAAAUAAACUAAAAAUCUUAUAUACAAAAAGAUUGAUUCAGGACACGUACAUUUCCAAGGAGACUAAAAAGGAAUCAAAUUUGGUGCAACUGAUUAAUCAAAAUCCUUAUCAAGAAGGUCUUUUUACAGAUACGGGAGUUCCAGACAGGGGAACUCAAUAGCGCAAUACACGGUACUCCAAAAGAUUCUAUAGUACUACUUCAACUGAUUCUGCAAUACUCCAUAAGCUAGACAAAUUUAUUUAAACAUUCAAUACAAAAUUAUAAAUCUUCAGUUCAAAUAUGAUUUACUCAAAUGCAACAUGUUUCCGCCUACAAGUCCGCAGCAGAAUUCAUACACCCUACGAAGUAAGAUUCCAGCUCAACAACCUUCAAGGAUUAGUAUGGGAAGGCACUUAUUUAUAAUCAUCAUUAUAUAAGAUUAAAACUCAAUGUAGACUAUAAAAACUAUGCCUCAGCCCAUGGCAAAAGGAGGUAUUAAUUUAAGGGAUAUAUCGCUAGCUUAAUGGAUUCAAGAAUGUAUGAAGAAAAGCAGGCUAAAAAACUCAAUGCCUAGUUUACCUGGUAAUUACGGAACCAGAUAUGAUCAUCAACAAUAGAGAAAACAAAGACAUGGUCAUGAUAAGGCUUAGAUUUCCGGUGCUCCUUUGGCGUGCCAAAUAUCUGCAUUAACAUUUCCUUCAAGAGUUUCCAGUGGGCAUCUUUAUCAAAAUUAGCAGAAAAAGUCAAGAUAGGUCGCGACCCUUUUAAAUGAUUUCCAGUAAGCUUUAGUUCUUCCAUCGUGUGCACAGCAUUAACUAAAAAUUUCACUGAUGGACCACCAGGGCACUUGGCCAUCCAUAAAUACAGAUCUUUAUGUUUCCUGCACUCGAAGAAUAAGCAAGAAGAGCAGCUCUUCAGCUCAACAAGCUCAUUAAGAGCCAUGCCUUUACUACUUUUGGAUUCAACCUUAUUAUCCUUCUUACAAUGAGGUAAGAGAGACACCACAUUCAACAUCAAGUGCCGAUAUCUGCAAUUGAUGCGACGAGAGCAAGUGACCAAAACCUUCUCUUUGCUCCUAAAACCAUGAGGCUCAGUUUCUUUCACUUCAGCUUCAUCUUUCCAUCCAAGGAGUGUGCGCUGAGGCCGCUCUAGAGCACUUUCUUCUUUCUUUGGUCCCGAAACCUCAGUUUCACUAUGCUUUCGCUUCUUCCCCAUGCGUAUGCUAAGUGAUAUCUGUUUGCUGCGUCUAGAAGGGAAGAGAGCGACAGAGAGGGGUUUUCCGCGGCGGGUUGCUUGCAGAGGCUGUGUGAAUUAGGGCGCCAUUCCAAUAGA
Molecule: unclassified non-coding RNA, 2360 nt
Filed under: Hevea brasiliensis (rubber tree)
Lineage: Eukaryota; Viridiplantae; Streptophyta; Magnoliopsida; Malpighiales; Euphorbiaceae
Source: RNAcentral